This 273-nucleotide long non-coding RNA is filed under the name Glycine max (soybean). Its description in RNAcentral is "long non-coding RNA (GMAX_LNC004569)". The record is from RNAcentral. Lineage: Eukaryota; Viridiplantae; Streptophyta; Magnoliopsida; Fabales; Fabaceae.
CCUCUUAUCUUUCAUAGUUAGUUGAUCUUUGGCCACCUGUGAAGGUGUUUGAGGAUGCAACACAAAUUUAGUGCCAAGAUGGGUGAGGCUAAUCUCAUUAGUUAGGCCAUUAUAAAUGAUCUUCCUAUCAAAUUGUCACGGCCUUCCUAAAAGAAUAUGUCCUGCCUCCAUGGGAACUAUAUCACAAUUAACUUCAUCCUUAUAUGUCCCAAUGGAGAAAGGUACCUUCACUUGUUGGUUAACUAUCAUUUCCCCUUGCUCAUUGAGCCAUUG